RNAcentral lists this ribosomal RNA (496 nucleotides) under uncultured bacterium. RNAcentral's name for it is "partial 16S ribosomal RNA". It matches the Rfam family "Bacterial small subunit ribosomal RNA", at positions 30 to 523 of the family's 1533-position model. The record is from RNAcentral.
AUUGAACGCUGGCGGAAUGCUUUACACAUGCAAGUCGAACGGUAGAGGGGGCAACCCCUCGAGAGUGGCGAACGGGUGAGUAAUAUAUCGGAACGUGCCCAGUCGUGGGGGAUAACGUAGCGAGAGUUACGCUAAUACCGCAUACGAUCUAAGGAUGAAAGCGGGGGAUCGCAAGACCUCGCGCGAUUGGAGCGGCCGAUAUCAGAUUAGGUAGUUGGUGGGGUAAAGGCUCACCAAGCCAACGAUCUGUAGCUGGUCUGAGAGGACGACCAGCCACACUGGAACGGAGACACGGUCCAGACUCCUACGGGAGGCAGCAGUGGGGAAUUUUGGACAAUGGACGCAAGUCUGAUCCAGCCAUUCCGCGUGCAGGAUGAAGGCCCUCGGGUUGUAAACUGCUUUUGUACGGAACGAAAAGGUCUCUCUUAAUACGGGGGACUCAUGACGGUACCGUAAGAAUAAGCACCGGCUAACUACGUGCCAGCCGCCGCCGUAA